AAUAUUUGACCAUGGGCGAAAUCCACAUCCAGCCAUGCCGCGUGUGUGAAGAAGAUCUUCGGUUUGUAAAGCACUUUAUGUUGGUAAAAAGGGCAGUAAGUUAAUACCUUCCUGUUUUGUCACACCCCACACAAUAAGCUCUCGACAUCUAUGUGCCCUCAGCCGCGGUAAUACGCAUGGUGCAAGCGUUAAUCGGAAUUACUGGGUGUAAAGAGCGCGUAGGUGGUUUGUUAAGUUGGAAGUGAAAGACCCGGGCUCAACCUGGGAACUGCUUUCAAUACUGGCAAGCUAGAGUAUGGCAGAGGGUGGGGGAAUUUCCUGUGUAGCGGUGAAAUGCGUAGAUAUAGGAAGGAACACCAGUAGCGAAGGCGAGCACAUGGGCUGAUACUAACACUGAGGUGCGAAAGCGUGGGGAGCAAACAGG
This 424-nucleotide ribosomal RNA is filed under the name uncultured bacterium. Its description in RNAcentral is "partial 16S ribosomal RNA". It matches the Rfam family "Bacterial small subunit ribosomal RNA", at positions 360 to 776 of the family's 1533-position model. The record is from RNAcentral.